This 52-nucleotide ribosomal RNA is filed under the name uncultured Afipia sp. RNAcentral describes it as "partial 16S ribosomal RNA". The record is from RNAcentral. Lineage: Bacteria; Pseudomonadati; Pseudomonadota; Alphaproteobacteria; Hyphomicrobiales; Nitrobacteraceae.
GGCAGACGGGUGAGUAACGCGUGGGAACGUACCUUUUGGUUCGGAACAACAC